AUACGUCAAGCCUAGGUAAGGUUCUUCGCGUUGCUUCGAAUUAAACCACAUGCUCCACCGCUUGUGCGGGCCCCCGUCAAUUCCUUUGAGUUUCAGCCUUGCGGCCGUACUCCCCAGGCGGGGCACUUAUCGCGUUAGCUUCGGCACGGAGAGGGCCGAUCCCCCCCGCACCUAGUGCCCAUCGUUUACGGCAUGGACUAC
RNAcentral lists this unclassified non-coding RNA (201 nucleotides) under uncultured Gemmatimonadota bacterium. RNAcentral describes it as "uncultured Gemmatimonadetes bacterium contains 16S-23S intergenic spacer region". The record is from RNAcentral. Lineage: Bacteria; Pseudomonadati; Gemmatimonadota.